RNAcentral lists this small RNA (233 nucleotides) under Cellulomonas cellasea DSM 20118. Its description in RNAcentral is "Actinobacteria sRNA Ms_IGR-5". It matches the Rfam family "Actinobacteria sRNA Ms_IGR-5". Lineage: Bacteria; Bacillati; Actinomycetota; Actinomycetes; Micrococcales; Cellulomonadaceae. The record is from Rfam by way of RNAcentral.
ACAUGGGAAAGGAGGUGGUCCUGAAGUGAUUUCUCUUCGGACGCGUGAGGUGACUGUCCGCUAGUCGCCCGAGUACUCGGACGGAUUGCUUCGAUCCACCCGGUGCCCGCUGGUCCUCGAGGACCGCCGGGCGGCGAGCGAGAUCCAGGCAGCCACCGCAGCCCGUGGGAGCCGCGCACUCGUCCAGCGCGGCAGGGCCCCGUCAAGGGGUUCCGGCCCACGGGCUGUUCCCU